Molecule: ribosomal RNA, 478 nt
Filed under: uncultured bacterium
Lineage: Bacteria
Description: partial 16S ribosomal RNA
Rfam family: Bacterial small subunit ribosomal RNA
Source: RNAcentral
GAUGAACGCUGGCGGCGUGCUUAACACAUGCAAGUCGAACGGGAAUUAUUUUAUUGAAACUUCGGUCGAUUUAAUUUAAUUCUAGUGGCGGACGGGUGAGUAACGCGUGGGUAACCUGCCUUAUACAGGGGGAUAACAGUCAGAAAUGGCUGCUAAUACCGCAUAAGCGCACAGAGCUGCAUGGCUCAGUGUGAAAAACUCCGGUGGUAUAAGAUGGACCCGCGUUGGAUUAGCUGGUUGGUGGGGUAACGGCCCACCAAGGCGACGAUCCAUAGCCGGCCUGAGAGGGUGAACGGCCACAUUGGGACUGAGACACGGCCCAGAUUCCUACGGGAGGCAGCAGUGGGGAAUAUUGCACAAUGGGGGAAACCCUGAUGCAGCGACGCCGCGUGAAGGAAGAAGUAUCUCGGUAUGUAAACUUCUAUCAGCAGGGAAGAUAGUGACGGUACCUGACUAAGAAGCCCCGGCUAACUACGUG